This 1428-nucleotide long non-coding RNA is filed under the name Sinocyclocheilus anshuiensis. RNAcentral describes it as "lncRNA (ENSSANG00000017373.1)". Lineage: Eukaryota; Metazoa; Chordata; Actinopteri; Cypriniformes; Cyprinidae. The record is from RNAcentral.
GCCAUACGAGUCUGGAAAGCCAUGCUCAAAGUGUCCAGAUAAUCUAUCAUUGUGUGAGGAUGACAUGUGCGUGGCUGAGAAUCUCUUUAAUUCAUCUGAGAAGCCCGAGUCAGACGACACCGAAGCUCCGACUGUCUUACCUGAGCAUCCACGAAUGACGACAGAGCCUGUCGCUGUUCCUGAAGAGCCAACUCAAGUGCACGUUAAAAUUGAGAGAGGGAUAGAAAGUGAAGUGAGCCAUGGAUCCAAGAUGGAAAGCAUCUCCGCUUCUCUGGUGAUGCUCGUCUGGCUGCUGGCGGCUCUUGUUUUGUGAAGGUUUGAAGUGGAUGAGAACCUGAUGAGAGGCAAAAAAACAUUUGUUUUAAGGAAAAGUUCACCUAAAAAUGAAAAUUUGCUGAAAAUGUAUUCACCCCUAAGUCCAUCCAAAAUGUAGAUGAGUUUGUUUCUUCAACAGAUUUAGGAGAAAUUUAACAUUGCAUCACUUACUCACCAGUGGAUCCUCUGCAGUGAAUGGGUGCCGUCAGAAUGAGAGUCCAAACAGCUGAUAAAAACAUCACAAUAAUCCACAAGUAAUCCACACAUCACUCCAGUCCAUCAGUUAACAUCCUGUGAAGCCAAAAGCUGUGUGUUUAUAAGAAACAAAUCCAUCAUUAACACGUUUUAAUGUCUUUAAUAAGCACCAACCAGUGCUUCCAGCUAAAAUAUGAGUUCAUAAUCCAUAAUAUUGCUUUCUCCAGUCUUCUUGUCUGAAUUGGGAGAGAAAUAUGCACAGAUCAAGCACUAUUUACAAUCCAGAACAGUCCUAAACAAAUAUGUUUGUGGAUUUUGAUGUGAGAGAACAACAGGAGAUGGACUUUUUCACUGGAGGAAAGGUUAUUAUGGACUUGUAUUUUGCCAAGAUGUGAUGCUUAAAGUUAAAAACAUCUUAAUUUAUGGAUUUGUUUCUUACAACCACACAGCUUUUAACUUGGAAAAAAAAAACAUUAAAAACAAUUCACUACCAACAUGUCUUGGACAUUUUGACACUUUCUGAAAUGCUUUGCCCUGAGCCCUAAUUUCUGACACUUUCUUUGACGUCUACAUGGGUCUCAGAGAGGCUUAACAGAUAAAUGAACAGGUUUUUGCAGAUUAGGCCAAAUGAGUGCAAAUAUUUUUUUUUCCGCAAACACCAUUCAUCUCAUAUCUUGAGCGAUAUUGCUCUUAGCUGACAUUGGUAGGAUUUGUGCAUGUCUUAUAGUGACAAACAACAGAAUCUGCAAUGUACAAAACUUCUGACUCAUUAUGACCAAAGACUUGAAUUAAGGCUGCGAUGGCAUUAUUAUCCACUAUAAAACAUGGAAAAAAAAAAAAAGACCUAAAUUUAGGAUUUAUGCAUUUGAAUUACAUAAAAAAAAUUGGGCUGUAUUAAAUUUGCAUUUGGAUUAGUUU